Molecule: ribosomal RNA, 253 nt
Filed under: uncultured bacterium
Lineage: Bacteria
Description: partial 16S ribosomal RNA
Rfam family: Bacterial small subunit ribosomal RNA
Source: RNAcentral
UACAGAGGUCCCGAGCGUUGUUCGGAUUUAUUGGGCGUAAAGGGUGCGUAGGCGGCGGAGUAAGUUGGGUGUGAAAUCCCGGGGCUCAACCUCGGAAUGGCAUUCAAUACUGCUUCGCUAGAGUACUGGAGAGGAGGCUGGAAUUUACGGUGUAGCAGUGAAAUGCGUAGAUAUCGUAAGGAAGGCCGGUGGCGAAAGCGAGCCUCUGGACAGUUCCUGACGCUGAGGCACGGAGGUCAGGGGAGCAAACGGG